UACGUAGGGGGCUAGCGUUGUCCGGAAUCAUUGGGCGUAAAGAGCGUGUAGGCGGUCCGGUAAGUCCGCUGUGAAAGUCGGGGGCUCAACCCUCGAAUGCCGGUGGAUACUGUCGGGCUAGAGUGCGGAAGAGGCGAGUGGAAUUCCUGGUGUAGCGGUGAAAUGCGCAGAUAUCAGGAGGAACACCUAUUGCGAAGGCAGCUCGCUGGGACGUAACUGACGCUGAGGCACGAAAGCGUGGGGAUCAAACAGG
Molecule: ribosomal RNA, 253 nt
Filed under: uncultured bacterium
Lineage: Bacteria
Description: partial 16S ribosomal RNA
Rfam family: Bacterial small subunit ribosomal RNA
Source: RNAcentral